RNAcentral lists this ribosomal RNA (552 nucleotides) under Triticum aestivum (bread wheat). Its description in RNAcentral is "partial small subunit ribosomal RNA". The record is from RNAcentral. Lineage: Eukaryota; Viridiplantae; Streptophyta; Magnoliopsida; Poales; Poaceae.
AUGGCAGAACCUUCCAAGCUCAUCACAACCAAGGACAAGGACGACAAGGACCAGGUGAUCACCAAUCCUGCAUAUGCCCCCUGGUUAGUCCAAGAUCAACAUAUUGUUGCAUAUCUCCUUCAAAAUCUCUUCAAGGAGGUGCUGAUUCAAGUAGCAUCGAUGGAAACAUCGUAUGCGAUCUGGACGGCUCUAAGCAACAUGUUCUCCAUCGUCUCACUGUCCCGCGUCAACAACAUUCGUGUCUCCCUCACCAACGCCCAGAAGGGCAACCAGCCAGCGGUGACCUACUUCGGGCACAUGUGUGCUCUCUCUGUUGAGCUUGCGGCGGCAGGCAAACUGAUCAAGGAGGACGAGCUGGUGCCAUUCAUCCUCGCGGGGCUUGACAUGGAGUAUCAGCCCAUCAUUUCCGCCUGGGACGCACACACUGAUCCAGUCACCGUCGAGAACCUCUUCUCCAUGGUAGCCAAUUUUGACCAGCGUGUCGAGAUAUUCCAUGUGACAGGCGCCGGCAACUUCAAGUCCUCCGCGAACCUUGGUUCUCACGGUCGCUAG